GACGAACGCUGGCGGCGUGCUUAACACAUGCAAGUCGAACGGAAAGGCCCUGCUUUUGUGGGGUGCUCGAGUGGCGAACGGGUGAGUAACACGUGAGUAACCUGCCCUUGACUUUGGGAUAACUUCAGGAAACUGGGGCUAAUACCGGAUAGGAGCGCCUGCUGCAUGGUGGGGGUUGGAAAGUUUCGGCGGUUGGGGAUGGACGCGGGGCUUAACAGCUUGUUGGUGGGGUAGUGGCUUACCAAGGCUUUGACGGGUAGCCGGCCUGAGAGGGUGACCGGCCACCUGGCGCCUGAGGGACGCCGCAGUCUCCUACGGGGGGCAGCAGUGGGGAAUAUUGUCCAGUGGUGGGGAGCCUGAUGCAGCAGCGCCGCGAGCGGGAUGACGGCCUUCGGGUUGGAAACCGCUUUCGCCUGUUACGAAGCGGGAGUGACGGUAAUGGGUAAAGAAGCACCGGCUAACUACGUG
This 468-nucleotide ribosomal RNA is filed under the name uncultured bacterium. RNAcentral's name for it is "partial 16S ribosomal RNA". It matches the Rfam family "Bacterial small subunit ribosomal RNA", at positions 28 to 507 of the family's 1533-position model. The record is from RNAcentral.